This 24-nucleotide microRNA is filed under the name Solanum tuberosum (potato). RNAcentral's name for it is "stu-miR7981-5p". The record is from miRBase by way of RNAcentral. Lineage: Eukaryota; Viridiplantae; Streptophyta; Magnoliopsida; Solanales; Solanaceae.
GUUAAUUAAACUAUGGUCCUAUUA